UGGGGAAUAUUGCACAAUGGGGGAAACCCUGAUGCAGCGACGCCGCGUGAGUGAAGAAGUAUUUCGGUAUGUAAAGCUCUAUCAGCAGGGACGAUAAUGACGGUACCUGACUAAGAAGCCCCGGCUAACUACGUGCCAGCAGCCGCGGUAAUACGUAGGGGGCAAGCGUUAUCCGGAUUUACUGGGUGUAAAGGGAGCGUAGGCGGCAUGGUAAGUAAGGUGUGAAAGCCCGGGGCUCAACUCCGGGAUUGCAUUUGAAACUACCAGACUAGAGUGCAGGAGAGGUAAGUGGAAUUCCUAGUGUAGCGGUGAAAUGCGUGGAUAUUAGGAAGAACACCAGUGGCGAAGGCGACUUACUGGACUGAAACUGACGCUGAGGCUCGAAAGCGUGGGGAGCAAACAGG
Molecule: ribosomal RNA, 404 nt
Filed under: uncultured prokaryote
Also listed under: 1 other name
Description: bacterial SSU rRNA
Rfam family: Bacterial small subunit ribosomal RNA
Source: RNAcentral